This 798-nucleotide ribosomal RNA is filed under the name uncultured Proteiniphilum sp. Its description in RNAcentral is "bacterial SSU rRNA". It matches the Rfam family "Bacterial small subunit ribosomal RNA", at positions 8 to 795 of the family's 1533-position model. The record is from RNAcentral. Lineage: Bacteria; Pseudomonadati; Bacteroidota; Bacteroidia; Bacteroidales; Dysgonomonadaceae.
AGAGUUUGAUUAUGGCUCAGGAUGAACGCUAGCGAUAGGCCUAACACAUGCAAGUCGAGGGGCAGCACAUGAAGUAGCAAUACGGAUGGUGGCGACCGGCGCACGGGUGAGUAACGCGUAUGCAACCUGCCUACAACAGGGGAAUAACCCGUUGAAAGACGGACUAAUACCCCAUAACACAGGGAUCCCGCAUGGGAAUAUUUGUUAAAGAUUUAUCGGUUGUAGAUGGGCAUGCGUUCCAUUAGCUGGUUGGUGAGGUAACGGCUCACCAAGGCAACGAUGGAUAGGGGAACUGAGAGGUUUAUCCCCCACACUGGUACUGAGACACGGACCAGACUCCUACGGGAGGCAGCAGUGAGGAAUAUUGGUCAAUGGACGCAAGUCUGAACCAGCCACGUCGCGUGAAGGAAGACGGCCCUACGGGUUGUAAACUUCUUUUGUAAGGGAAUAAAGUGUAGUACGUGUACUAUUUUGCAUGUACCUUACGAAUAAGGAUCGGCUAACUCCGUGCCAGCAGCCGCGGUAAUACGGAGGAUCCGAGCGUUAUCCGGAUUUAUUGGGUUUAAAGGGUGCGCAGGCGGGAGAUUAAGUCGGCGGUGAAAUUUUGCAGCUCAACUGUAAAAGUGCCUUCGAAACUGGUUUCCUUGAGUGUGGAUGAAGUAGGCGGAAUUUGUGGUGUAGCGGUGAAAUGCAUAGAUAUCACGAGGAACUCCGAUUGCGCAGGCAGCUUACUAAACCAUAACUGACGCUCAGGCACGAAGGCGUGGGGAUCAAACAGGAUUAGAUACCCUGGUAGUC